CAGCCGAAGAUCGUGAACCUGGUGCAGAGAACCUUUUCCUGACGUCGACUCGGUGUACUUGGUUUUACAGAUGUGAACAGCAACUCAUCACGAUCAGGGAUCGUCACUCUUCGAUCCAGUUCUUUUUGUUCUCGCUAUGCCUGGGGUCGCCUUUAUGGUGGUGGAGGAGAAGAACGGAGCUAAACAGAUCAACCGGCUCGUGUAGACCAGAUACCUAAACCUUUACUUUUGUGGACAUUGAAUUCUGGUGAGAAGCCAAGCGGCCAGGGAGAACUGGACUUGCAGCCGUGAUCAGGCAUACAGUACACAUUCAUAUGACACGUGGUGGACAUUGCUGGUCCACGUUUGAAGUAUUUACGUGUGCACGGCAGUCGAUUCAUCCAAACCAGUUUUGGUCAUUUGAAAGCCCGAAUUAGGGCUUAUAAUCCCACUAGAAACUUGAAAGGAUGGGGUUUAGAUCUGGUAAGCCUGCUUCUUCAUACAAUUUGCCAUGACAUACUACGUAGUAACUUUUCUAGUUUUGUAAGACCUGGCUGGAUUCCUUAUUCCCUGUCCUUAGACUUUUCCGGCUUCAAAUUUGGCAAGGAAUAAUUGCACAAUUCGCGCACUGCAAGAUGAUAUCUCUAACUAUACAUUGGAGAAAGGAAAGGGUUAGAGUGCCAGUAUACGUAUUGUCCCCUGGCUGAAUGGACGAGAAAUUUGUUCUUUCUGCAUUGGUAGAUGCAAAAUCUGAAGUUACCUGCGUAUUGCUGGCUGCACAUUAACCGCUGUGUCGGAGGUUGUCGCCUGCAACUGCAUCGCCUCGAGCUGGCUGUUACGUUCCUUUCUGCAAAACAAAAUGUGAGAAUUGCAUGUAUACACAAAGCCAAUCAGGAAUUAGACCGGUAGGAAAUACUGACAUUACUUUCUGAAAGA
Long non-coding RNA from Sycon ciliatum, 915 nucleotides. RefSeq lists it as uncharacterized. Lineage: Eukaryota; Metazoa; Porifera; Calcarea; Leucosolenida; Sycettidae. The record is from RefSeq and is a predicted model, not a curated record. The transcript has 2 exons.